Molecule: long non-coding RNA, 1834 nt
Organism: Lacerta agilis (Sand lizard)
Lineage: Eukaryota; Metazoa; Chordata; Lepidosauria; Squamata; Lacertidae
Exons: 3
Source: RefSeq, a predicted model, not a curated record
GAAGAAACUGGCAGAGCCACUAUCGCCACCUGUAGCCAUUGUCUUGUUGCCGCCUGCUAGGUGUGUGGUGACAAGGAGGUGAAGAAAGCAAGGGCCGGCUUGGACUCCUUUCACAGAGAGAUGUAUUUUCAUAAGCUCAAGGCACAAAUCCAUUUUAAGAGGAAACUAUUUUGAACAGAAGCCCUGACCCCAUUGUCGUUUUGCCGUUGUUCAUGGCUUUUGAGGAGGAAAGAACGUGGGGAGUUUUGUGCCCAAAAUAGUCCCCCUACCCCAGUUCUUCUCCUGGCUCCUUUUAAAUUGUUGGGUUUGAUUUUUCAGAGUGAGAUUUAGACCAGGGCUGGGGGAGCUGUGGUGCUUCAGCUGCUGUUGGACUCCAACUCCCAACUGCCUCAGCCAGCAUGGCCAGUGGGCAGGGGUGCUGGGAGUUGUAGUCCAGCAACAACGGGUGGAUCACAAGUUCCCCAUACCUGGUUCAGGUGAAGCUAUGUGCCUGUGCUGACACUGUCUCUGCUGUUGAGGGCUAGCCCUAAGGAAUUCAGAAGGGACAUAAAACACCCUUCAAACCCCACAGCCCAGCCCCCCUUUUAAGGGUCAGCUGCUAAUGUCUUCCUUGUAGCCAUUGUCUAAAACUGUUAGAAGCAGAAACAAAGCAUUCAUUUAAACUCCAAUGCUCCAGUCAGUUCUGAGUGUGUCAUCUGUGUCUCACACAUGUGUUUGGACCAAAAUACGUAAUUAGCCACUUGGUUCCUGCACGUGGGGGUGAGUGGAUGGGUCACUGGAAGAAGAGGUUUCAUGCCUGAGGAUUGGGGGUGGCUGGGGUGCCCCUUUGUCCCAAAAGCUCUUGGACUGCAGCUCCCAUCAGCCCCCAGCCAGUAUGGGGUCAGGAAUGAUGGGAGUUGGACUCAAUUGAAAAUGGACUUCAGCUAAGGAAUUCCAAGAUAGCCACUGGUGGCUGCAUUAAAUAGCAUCACACCUGCAUUUUAUCAUUGUAACACUUAACCUUUUAAGAUCAAGCCUAGCUGGGCGCAGAGCUGGCUCUAUGCAGUGGGUGUGAUCUUGUAAGAAGGAAUGGGUUCUCUGCAUCACUUGGAUCUGAAUCUUUCCAUCUGAACACUUGUGAGGGUUUGCCACUGCGCUCUUAACCCAGAACCGUUUGCUAGUACCGGAUUCUGUGGCACCAUUUCUCUUCUCCACCCCCCAGCCCACACCUUUUCCCUUUGCAGUGCUGAUCUCUCUGUUGGGCUUGCUGAGUGCUUCCCAUCUCUUCUCAAACAGAGAGCUGUGACCAUCGGCUUGUGUCUGGUAACCUGGGUCUCAUCCAAACUAGGGCUGAUGGACGCACUGCCCGGAUUUCUUAACAUAACCUUCAACUUGACAAUGUGACUAAGGGAUGGAUCCACUCUAUAUAAACGUUUUACAUCCUUAUACCCUGAGUGUGUGGACCCUGCACACUUGAUGAUCCCCAUGUAUUUAAGUGGUGGCUGGCCCUCGUCGUUUCUCAGUUUGCCUGGAAGCAACUUGAUGAGAACCGUGUGUCCCCUUUGGAGAUGCAGGAGUUGUUCACCCACUGAAUGUGUGAGCUUACUGCAGCUCUAAAUCUGGGCCUUUGAAAGAAUGCUAAGCAAUUCCCAUGCGACAUGCCUGGAGACCCAAGGAAGACAGAUGUAGCAACUCUUCCCACCUUUCAGUGAAUUCUGGAUUCUUCAUGUGGCCUCCUGCUCUUUGUAGCAGCUUCAUUGUUUUUAAAAUGGGUGUCUCAAUGGCCUCAGAAGUAGAUCUUAAGAGAUUGGCAGGUUAAUGCAGGCACAGCUAUUUGUAAAGUACGGUAACUCGG